UACGUAGGGGGCAAGCGUUGUCCGGAUUAUUGGGCGUAAAGAGCGUGUAGGCGGCCAGGUAGGUCGGUUGUGAAAACUGGAGGCUCAACCUUCAGAGGUCGACCGAAACCAUCUGGCUAGAGUCCGGGAGAGGAGAGUGGAAUUCCUGGUGUAGCGGUGAAAUGCGCAGAUAUCAGGAAGAGCACCCGUGGCGAAAGCGGCUCUCUGGAACGGUACUGACGCUGAGACGCGAAAGCGUGGGAGCGAACAGG
RNAcentral lists this ribosomal RNA (251 nucleotides) under uncultured bacterium. RNAcentral describes it as "partial 16S ribosomal RNA". It matches the Rfam family "Bacterial small subunit ribosomal RNA", at positions 524 to 776 of the family's 1533-position model. The record is from RNAcentral.